RNAcentral lists this ribosomal RNA (304 nucleotides) under uncultured bacterium. RNAcentral describes it as "bacterial SSU rRNA". It matches the Rfam family "Bacterial small subunit ribosomal RNA", at positions 44 to 334 of the family's 1533-position model. The record is from RNAcentral.
GAUGAACGCUGACCAGGAAGUGCUUAACACAUGCAAGUCGACUCGAGUCUUCGGGACUUGGGGUGGACGGCACGGGUGAGUAACGCGUAAAGAACUUGCCUCUUAGACCGGGACAACAUCUGGAAACGGAUGCUAAUACCGGAUAUUAUGGUUUCUUCGCAUGGAGGAAUCAUGAAAGCUAGAUGCGCUAAGAGAGAGCUUUGCGUCCCAUUAGCUGGCUGGUGAGGCAACGGCCCACCAAGGCAAUGAUGGGUAGCCGGCCUGAGAGGGUGAACAGCCACAAGGGGACUGAGACACGGCCCUU